GAAGGGGGGCUAGCGUUGCUCGGGAAUCACUGGGGCGUAAAGGGCGCGUAGGCGGCCGAUUAAGUCGGGGGUGAAAGCCUGUGGCUCAACCACAGAAUUGCCUUCGAUACUGGUUGGCUUGAGACCGGAAGAGGACAGCGGAACUGCGAGUGUAGAGGUGAAAUUCGUAGAUAUUCGCAAGAACACCAGUGGCGAAGGCGGCUGUCUGGUCCGGUUCUGACGCUGAGGCGCGAAAGCGUGGGGAGCAAACAGGAUUAGAUACCCUGGUAGUCCACGCCGUAAACGAUGAACGCCAGCCGUUGGCCUGCUUGCAGGUCAGUGGCGCCGCUAACGCAUUAAGCAUUCCGCCUGGGGAGUACGGUCGCAAAGAUUAA
Molecule: ribosomal RNA, 374 nt
Filed under: uncultured organism
Description: partial 16S ribosomal RNA
Rfam family: Bacterial small subunit ribosomal RNA
Source: RNAcentral